This 468-nucleotide ribosomal RNA is filed under the name uncultured bacterium. RNAcentral describes it as "partial 16S ribosomal RNA". It matches the Rfam family "Bacterial small subunit ribosomal RNA", at positions 28 to 507 of the family's 1533-position model. The record is from RNAcentral.
GACGAACGCUGGCGGCGUGCUUAACACAUGCAAGUCGAACGGAAAGGCCCUGCUUUUGUGGGGUGCUCGAGUGGCGAACGGGUGAGUAACACGUGAGUAACCUGCCCUUGACUUUGGGAUAACUUCAGGAAACUGGGGCUAAUACCGGAUAGGAGCUCCUGCUGCAUGGUGGGGGUUGGAAAGUUUCGGCGGUUGGGGAUGGACUCGCGGCUUAUCAGCUUGUUGGUGGGGUAGUGGCUUACCAAGGCUUUGACGGGUAGCCGGCCUGAGAGGGUGACCGGCCACCUUGGGACUGCGGUACGGCCCAGUGUCCUACGGGAGGCAGCAGUGGGGAAUAUUGCACAAUGGGCGGAAGCCUGAUGCAGAAACGCCGCGUGCGGGAUGACGGCCUUCGGGUUGUAAACCGCUUUCGCCUGUGACGAAGCGUGAGUGACGGUAAUGGGUAAAGAAGCACCGGCUAACUACGUG